AGGUAGUAAAUAUAAUAAAACUAACAUAUUAUGGCGGCAUUUCAUUUUAUUAGAGGAAUAUGUCUAAUAAUCGAAACCACGCGAUAAAUUUAAUUUUUAUUAAAAUUUUAUAUACCGCCGUCCAGAAUAGGUAAUUAAAACUUUAUUCUAAAAAAUAUUAUAAAAGCUUAGGUAAAGGUGUAGACAACAUAAAAAUUUAAGGUGUAUUACAUUAAAAACAAUUUAAGAAUAGAACUUCGAAAGAAAAAUUGAAAAAGGAUUUACAAGUAAUCUUUUAUCAAAAUAAAAAAAUGAAUAAAAAAAUAAAUGUGU
RNAcentral lists this ribosomal RNA (312 nucleotides) under Pachygnatha sp. GH31. RNAcentral describes it as "partial 12S ribosomal RNA". Lineage: Eukaryota; Metazoa; Arthropoda; Arachnida; Araneae; Tetragnathidae. The record is from RNAcentral.